GGGUGAGUAAUGUCUGGGAAACUGCCUGAUGGAGGGGGAUAACUACUGGAAACGGUAGCUAAUACCGCAUAACGUCGCAAGACCAAAGAGGGGGACCUUCGGGCCUCUUGCCAUCGGAUGUGCCCAGAUGGGAUUAGCUAGUAGGUGGGGUAAAGGCUCACCUAGGCGACGAUCCCUAGCUGGUCUGAGAGGAUGACCAGCCACACUGGAACUGAGACACGGUCCAG
This 227-nucleotide ribosomal RNA is filed under the name uncultured bacterium. Its description in RNAcentral is "partial 16S ribosomal RNA". It matches the Rfam family "Bacterial small subunit ribosomal RNA", at positions 104 to 334 of the family's 1533-position model. The record is from RNAcentral.